AGCAGCCGCGGUAAUUCCAGCUCCAAUAGCGUAUAUUAAAGUUGUUGCAGUUAAAAAGCUCGUAGUUGAAUUUCGGGGUUAGUAGGUUGGUCAUGCCUCUGGUAUGUACUGGUCUCACUGAUUCCUCCUUCCUGAUGAGCCGUAAUGCCAUUAAUUUGGUGUUGCGGGGAAUUUGGACUGUUACUUUGAAAAAUUAGAGUGUUUAAAGCAAGCUAACGCUUGAAUACAUUAGCAUGGAAUAAUGAAAUAGGACGUUCGAUCCUAUUUUGUGGUUUCUAGGAUUGACGUAAUGAUUAAUAGGGAUAGUUGGGGCAUUAGUAUUCAAUUGUCAGAGGUGAAAUUCUUGGAUUUAUUGAAGACUAACUACUGCGAAAGCAUUUGCC
Molecule: ribosomal RNA, 383 nt
Filed under: uncultured Glomus
Lineage: Eukaryota; Fungi; Glomeromycota; Glomeromycetes; Glomerales; Glomeraceae
Description: SSU rRNA
Rfam family: Eukaryotic small subunit ribosomal RNA
Source: RNAcentral